Molecule: ribosomal RNA, 414 nt
Filed under: uncultured bacterium
Lineage: Bacteria
Description: bacterial SSU rRNA
Rfam family: Bacterial small subunit ribosomal RNA
Source: RNAcentral
UGGGGAAUCUUGCGCAAUGGGCGAAAGCCUGACGCAGCGACGCCGCGUGGGGGAUGAAGGCCUUCGGGUUGUAAACCUCUUCGGCAGGGACGAAACUGACGUGUACCUGCAGAAGAAGCGCCGGCUAACUACGUGCCAGCAGCCGCGGUAAUACGUAGGGCGCGAGCGUUGUCCGGAAUUAUUGGGCGUAAAGAGCUCGUAGGCGGCCGGUCGCGUCUGCCGUGAAAGCCCACGGCUCAACCGUGGGACUGCGGUGGAUACGGGCCGGCUAGAGGCAGGCAGGGGCAAGUGGAAUUCCUGGUGUAGCGGUGAAAUGCGCAGAUAUCAGGAGGAACACCGGUGGCGAAGGCGGCUUGCUGGGCCUGUCCUGACGCUGAGGAGCGAAAGCGUGGGGAGCGAACAGGAUUAGAUACC